GAUCAUGGCUCAGGAUGAACGCUAGCUACAGGCUUAACACAUGCAAGUCGAGGGGCAGCAUGUUGGUUGCUUGCAACCAACGAUGGCGACCGGCGCACGGGUGAGUAACGCGUAUCCAACCUUCCGCACACUCGGGAAUAGCCUUUCGAAAGAAAGAUUAAUGCCCGAUGGUUUCCCGAAUCCGCAUGAGGAACGGGAAAUAAAGAUUCAUCGGUGUGCGAGUGGGGAUGCCGUCCCUA
RNAcentral lists this ribosomal RNA (239 nucleotides) under uncultured bacterium. Its description in RNAcentral is "partial 16S ribosomal RNA". It matches the Rfam family "Bacterial small subunit ribosomal RNA", at positions 15 to 241 of the family's 1533-position model. The record is from RNAcentral.